Long non-coding RNA from Panicum virgatum (switchgrass), 1304 nucleotides. RefSeq lists it as uncharacterized. Lineage: Eukaryota; Viridiplantae; Streptophyta; Magnoliopsida; Poales; Poaceae. The record is from RefSeq and is a predicted model, not a curated record. The transcript is spliced from 2 exons.
CAGCUUAACACUGCCUCUCAAUCUUAAUCCCGUCGGAUCAAGUAGCAUGGCUCAGAACCAUUCCACGCCUCCCGUGAUGCCUACCACCACCAGCUCUGAACUUGUGCAGGCCCAGGCCGAGCUGUGGUGCCACACCUUCGCCUACCUCAGAUCCAUGGCCCUGCAAAGUGUGAUCAAGAUCGGGAUCCCCACCGCCAUCCACCGCUGCGGCGGCGCCGCCUCCUUGUCCGAUCUACAACUGGCUCUCCCGGCCGUCCCUCCGAGCAAGUGGCCACGCUUGCUACGCCUCAUGAAACUGCUGGUCGUCUCAGGAAUAUUCAGAGAGGACGAGGCCGGCGUGUACUGCCUCACCCCGGUGUCGCGCCUCCUUGUGGAAGAAGAAGAAGGUGGCGAAGGCGGCGGCGAAGGCGGCCAUGCCUGUCACAGUUCACGGUCUUGGCCACUUCACCCUUCCACUUCCAGGCGUCUCAACGCCUGCCCGAGUGGCUCAAGGUUGAGGACGAUGAUGCCGCGGCAGCAGAGACACCGUUCGUGAUGGCGCAUGGGGCGAGGUUUUUCGCCUACACGGCCCGUGACUUGGAGUUCGGCGCGCUGUUCAACGAGUCGAUGGGCGCCGACAGCCGCUUCGUGGCGGAGAUCUUCGUGCGCGAGUGCGGCGAGGUGCUCGCCGGGGUUGCAACCCUGGUCGACGUCGGAGGUGGGGAUGGCACCACCGCCAAGGCCAUCGCGAAGGCCUUCCCACACGUGAGGUGCAAGGUUGCUGGAGCUUCCCCAAGCGGCGGCCAACAUGCCGGCUGAUGGCAUGGUCGAGUUUGUUGUAGGCGACAUGAUGGAGUUUAUCCCUCCGGCCGAUGUUGUGCUACUCAAGUUUGUGCUGCAUAAUUGGAGCGACCAAGAUUGUGUUAGAAUCCUAAAGCGGUCGAAGGAAGCUGUUUCUACUCGAGAACCAAAGGGAAAGGUGAUGAUCAUAGAUGCAGUGGCUGGGUCGGCGCCCAGUAAAGAAGCGUCUGAAGCUCAACUUCUAAUGGAUGUAUGCAUGAUGCUGCUGACGACGGGUGAAGAGCGAGACGAGGAGAGGUGGCACAGGUUGUUCCUCAAUGCGGGGUUUAGUCGAUACAACAUUAACCCUAUCUUUGGAUCUCGUUCACUCAUUGAGGUCUUUCCAUAGAAAAUAUAUAUAAGCUGGUAGUGCUGAAUGUAUGUGGUCUAUGAUACGUCUUGUAUUUAUUAUCUUUGGUCUGGAGUAUAUUGAGCAAAAGGUGUAUAUACAUUACGGUUUGCAAGUUCUCUGCUCGCUCACUACA